Molecule: ribosomal RNA, 490 nt
Filed under: uncultured bacterium
Lineage: Bacteria
Description: partial 16S ribosomal RNA
Rfam family: Bacterial small subunit ribosomal RNA
Source: RNAcentral
AUUGAACGCUGGCGGCAGGCCUAACACAUGCAAGUCGAACGGUAACAGGAAGCAGCUUGCUGCUUUGCUGACGAGUGGCGGACGGGUGAGUAAUGUCUGGGACACUGCCUGAUGGAGGGGGAUAACUACUGGAAACGGUAGCUAAUACCGCAUAACGUCGCAAGACCAAAGAGGGGGACCUUCGGGCCUCUUGCCAUCGGAUGUGCCCAGAUGGGAUUAGCUAGUAGGUGGGGUAACGGCUCACCUAGGCGACGAUCCCUAGCUGGUCUGAGAGGAUGACCAGCCACACUGGAACUGAGACACGGUCCAGACUCCUACGGGAGGCAGCAGUGGGGAAUAUUGCACAAUGGGCGCAAGCCUGAUGCAGCCAUGCCGCGUGUAUGAAGAAGGCCUUCGGGUUGUAAAGUACUUUCAGCGGGGAGGAAGGGAGUAAAGUUAAUACCUUUGCUCAUUGACGUUACCCGCAGAAGAAGCACCGGCUAACUCCGUG